This 529-nucleotide ribosomal RNA is filed under the name uncultured Syndiniales. RNAcentral describes it as "SSU rRNA". It matches the Rfam family "Eukaryotic small subunit ribosomal RNA", at positions 607 to 1151 of the family's 1831-position model. The record is from RNAcentral. Lineage: Eukaryota; Dinophyceae; Syndiniales.
UUAAGUUGUUGCGGUUAAAAGCUCGUAGUUGGAUUUCUGUUGUGAACAGGCCGUCCACCUUUUGGGUGAGUAUCUGCAUUGGUCUCGGCAUCUUCUCGAAAAACGUUUCUGCGCUUGAUUGCGUGGUGCGGAGUUCGGGACUUUUACUUAGAGGAAAUUAGAGUGUUCACGGCAGGCAUACGCCUUGAAUAUAUUAGCAUGGAAUAAUAAUAUAGGAUCUUGGUUCUAUUUUGUUGGUUUCUAGAGCUAAGAUAAUGAUUAAUAGGGACAAUUGGGGGCAUKCGUAUUAACGCGUCAGAGGUGAAAUUCUUUKWUUGCGUUACGACGAACUACUGCGAAAGCAUUUGCCAAGGAUGUUUUCAUUGAUCAAGAACGAAAGUAAGGGGAUCGAAGAUGAUUAGAUACCGUCGUAGUCUUUACCAUAAACUAUGCCAACUCGAGAUUGGACCUCGUUCUACUAUGACUGGUUCAGCACCGUAUGAGAAAUCAAAGUUUUUGGGUUCCGGGGGGAGUAUGGUCGCAAGGCUGA